UGAACGCUGGCGGCGUGUCUAAGGCAUGCAAGUCGAACGAUUCUCAUUUACUUUGUAAUAGAGAAAAGUGGCAGACGGGAGAGUAACGCAUUGGUAACCUACCUCGAAGACGUGAAUAACUCCGCGAAAGUGGAAUUAAUACACGAUAAGAAUGGGGGGUCGAAAGACAUUCCCAUUUAAAGCUCAGGCGCUUCGAGAGGGGCCUAUGUCCCAUCAGCUUGUUGGUAAGGUAAAAGCUUACCAAGGCUACGACGGGUAGCGGGUGUGAGAGCAUGGCCCGCCUCACUGGGACUGAAACACUGCCCAGACUCCUACGGGAGGCUGCAGUCAAGAAUCUUCCGCAAUGGCCGAAAGGCUGACGGAGCGACGCCGCGUGAUCGAUGAAGCCCUUCGGGGUGUAAAGGUCUUUUCUGGGGGACGAACAAAUGACGGUACCCCAGGAAUAAGGGGCUGCAAACUUC
RNAcentral lists this ribosomal RNA (461 nucleotides) under uncultured bacterium. RNAcentral describes it as "bacterial SSU rRNA". It matches the Rfam family "Bacterial small subunit ribosomal RNA", at positions 30 to 504 of the family's 1533-position model. The record is from RNAcentral.